Molecule: ribosomal RNA, 332 nt
Filed under: Pedaria sp. CLS-2009b
Lineage: Eukaryota; Metazoa; Arthropoda; Insecta; Coleoptera; Scarabaeidae
Description: eukaryotic LSU rRNA
Rfam family: Eukaryotic large subunit ribosomal RNA
Source: RNAcentral
GAACCACGUACCAAGGAGUCCAGCAUGUGCGCGAGUCAUUGGGACUCUGAUAAACCUAAAGGCGCAAUGAAAGUAAAGGUCCGCCUCGCGCGGACCGAGGGAGGAUGGGCCCGUCCCCGGACGGGCCCCGCACUCCCGGGGCGUCUCGUUCUCAUCGCGAGAAGAGGCGCACCCAGAGCGUACACGCUGGGACCCGAAAGAUGGUGAACUAUGCCUGGUCAGGACGAAGUCAGGGGAAACCCUGAUGGAGGUCCGUAGCGAUUCUGACGUGCAAAUCGAUCGUCGGAACUGGGUAUAGGGGCGAAAGACUAAUCGAACCUUCUAGUAGCUGG